RNAcentral lists this unclassified non-coding RNA (217 nucleotides) under Candidatus Phytoplasma mali. RNAcentral's name for it is "16S-23S rRNA intergenic spacer region". The stretch from base 80 to 153 matches the Rfam family "tRNA". Lineage: Bacteria; Bacillati; Mycoplasmatota; Mollicutes; Acholeplasmatales; Acholeplasmataceae. The record is from RNAcentral.
CUAAGGAAAAUAUCAUCUUCAGUUGUGAAAGACUUAAAAAAGUUUUUUAUUUUUUAAGAUAAAAAUAAAUAAUGGUCCGGGGCCUAUAGCUCAGUUGGUUAGAGCACACGCCUGAUAAGCGUGAGGUCGAUGGUUCGAGUCCAUUUAGGCCCACCAAGGUAUUUAUCUUAAGAAAACAAGCUCUUUGAAAAGUAGAUAAAUUAAGGUUAAAAGAGUU